CUGGGGUUUCCACAUUAGAAUGGUAUAUAGGUCGCACAGUUGGAUGUGAAAAUAAAACACAAACAACUGCUCAGAAGUCAACGUUAUAUAGAAACAAAGAUCGGAAAACAGCACCAACGAAGCAAUAUCGUUGUACGAGAGAAAAUUUUCAAAACAGAAAAAAUCAUCACCACCAUUAUGGCAUAUAUCCGAUUUGUCCUGGUCUUCGUCGCCAUGGUAACCAUGUUGGUGUGCGUGGAGGGCCGUCUGUGUAAGCUGGACGCCGAUGCCGCGACUUGCACGGAUGUUGUGCCACGUUGGGGCCCGUUAAAGGGCGUAUCCCUGUGCUCGAGCGCUGGAAAAACAUGUCAACUGAAAAUUCGACGGAGGUCAAUUGAAUGCAGGUGUGAAGCCGCCCGAAUUCAGCUACAUUAACGUUCAGCUUAUGUUACUGGACAUUUUGAGUUGAUCAACAAUUUAAAGGUCAAUUAAUGGCAUUCAGGUUAGAUCAGAAAUAUUUCUAAUUAAGUUUAAUUAAUUAUGAUCGAGCCUUGCGUUCUUUGAUGCUACCUGCUGCAAUUAUACAAUAUAUACAUGGAUAAGAUAAAUCAACCAGUUUGAAACUCGACUUUCAAUAAAUAUGUAUACAUUAAAUUUAGUAAAGGUUCCCUUUUCCCAAUUGAGAUAACGAAUUGCUGAUUUCACUCAAUUAUAGUUUUGAGCAGGUACGAUUCUAGCAGAUAUAUUAGUAUAUCAUUGUUCAUUACAGUCAUUUAUUAUUGUUUGCAUGAUAUUUGUUGUUCGUAUUUUUUUUUACAUCUAUAUUGUAGAUUUAAUGAUGGAUAAUAUUUUGUCUCAACUAUUCAUAUACGUGUAUAUUUUAUUUUACUAUGUUGAUUUUUAUUGCAUUGUGCUUUUUUCACUGAUAUUGUGUUUUAUUGUUUUAAUUGUAGAUAAUCAACUUUUACUUCUUGUUUUGAACAUUAUGUAUCCGUAUACUGUAAUACUAAUGAAGUGUUAUCAAUUUAAAUUUGAAAUGCUUACAUAUCAUUAUAAUUGAUCUCAGGUAUUUACAUAGACAACGUAUUGGUUACUGAAAUAAAAAAUAUAAUAUU
Molecule: long non-coding RNA, 1094 nt
Organism: Dreissena polymorpha
Lineage: Eukaryota; Metazoa; Mollusca; Bivalvia; Myida; Dreissenidae
Exons: 2
Source: RefSeq, a predicted model, not a curated record